RNAcentral lists this ribosomal RNA (443 nucleotides) under uncultured bacterium. Its description in RNAcentral is "partial 16S ribosomal RNA". It matches the Rfam family "Bacterial small subunit ribosomal RNA", at positions 338 to 795 of the family's 1533-position model. The record is from RNAcentral.
CCUACGGGAGGCAGCAGUGGGGAAUAUUGGGCAAUGGGCGCAAGCCUGACCCAGCAACGCCGCGUGAAGGAAGAAGGCUUUCGGGUUGUAAACUUCUUUUCUGAGGGACGAAGAAAGUGACAGUACCUCAGUAAUAAGCCACGGCUAACUACGUGCCAGCAGUCGCGGUAAUACGUCGGUGGCAAUCGUUAUCCGGAUUUAUUGGGUGUAAAGGGAGUGUAGGCGGGAAAGCAAGUCAGAUGUGAAAAGUUGGGGCUCAACCCUGAGCCUGCAUUUGAAACUGUUUUUCUUGAGUGCUGGAGAGGUAAUCGGAAUUCCGUGUGUAGCGGUGAAAUGCGUAGAUAUACGGAGGAACACCAGUGGCGAAGGCAGACUGCUGGACAGUCACUGACGCUGAGGCGCGAAAGCGUGGGGAGCAAACAGGAUUAGAUACCCCGGUAGUC